Molecule: long non-coding RNA, 1067 nt
Organism: Triticum aestivum (bread wheat)
Lineage: Eukaryota; Viridiplantae; Streptophyta; Magnoliopsida; Poales; Poaceae
Exons: 3
Source: RefSeq, a predicted model, not a curated record
CACGGCGGCCUGUCCUCUCUGAGUACGCACAACAGCACGGGUCCUCUUCCUGGGGAUAGCACGGCAGCGCCGCCAUGAAUCAAGCCGCCGCGCGCGGCCGGUAUACCUUUCCCGCUACCCUCCAGCAGCGCGGCCGUUGCCCUUUUCUUCCCCUCCUCACCCGCCCCAACUCCUCACCCCCAGCCUCCUCGGCCUCAACGCGGACGUCUCCGAUUUGGAUAGGAUUCGACGCCGCCACGCGCGGCCGGUCUUCCUCUCUAGCUAUCCUCCAGCAGCGCCGCCGUUGCCCUGUUCUUCGCCUCCUCACCCGCCCCAACUCCUCACCCCCAGCCUCCUCCGCCUCGAGGAGGACGGCUCCGAUUUGGAGCUCAAGUACUGCCUCCUGACACCUCCAUCCCCAAGUACGUCCUCCCGUCAGACGAGGACGAGAUUUGGAUUGGGGCGCAACAGAGAUGAGGAAGGACAAAGCAUGAAUAGCUCCAGUGAGAGUGAACGGAUAUGAACACCACAACCCUCUCAGGGGUUGUUGGCUGAUCAGGAUACCUCUAACACCCCGAGUGUCAUGCUACAGUAAUCCCCUGUUAAUGGUGUCAUGUCAUCAUGUUACUGUUGCUAAUCUUCACUUGAUCCUAAUCACACUUCAAAUUCAAAUCUAAUCUGAAGUCAAAAAUUCAUAUUUGCCAAACCUGAAAACUGAAAUGUUCAAAGUGUGGCAAAUAAUCUCUGGUUAUUUGUCAUGUUGAAACCUAUAUUUUAGAGUGUGUUUUUAAUGCCCUAAGCUAAUAAAACAGUGGCCAAGGCUUUAAUUAAAAUGAUUGUCUAAUUUAUGAAAAAUCCAAAACAUUUCAAAAGCCUCCCAAACUUUUUGUGGCAACGCUCAUUAUUGACUAGUAUUUGUUCUGUCCACCUCCACAUUUUUUUGCAAAGUCAUUUUUGUGGCUUAAAUGCAAAUGGAGGAUGUUAAAAGAAAACAGAAAAAUAAAAGGGAGAUCAGAAAUAAAAGAAAAAGGAGCAAGGCCCCAACCCCGACCUGGGCCUCGACCACCCGACCGGCCCAGCCCACCAAC